AUGGUUUCAUCAUCUGACACGUUUGAUUUGCUUUUCUUCUGCUUGCCACGUUCCAACUCCAGGUCCAACAAUUGCUUCACCAUUCAAGAUUGCGGCCAUGUCUGAAACCUUCAUCAAAACCCUUUUCUCAAAUCGCUAACGACGGGGUCCAAUUAGAGUGAUGGCGUGAGCAAUACAAAAGAACUUUUAAAGAAACUAAAUCGAAAAAAAUACUAGCAAAGAUCAACAAGAAAUUCCAAAUUUUCUCCCCAACUCCCACAAGCAACGGUGAAACUGGAAUUUCGUUGAAGGCCUUUCCCUGUUCUGAUUCUUACUUUAAUUGAUAAGGUAUGCUGACAUAUAGGCCCUGUUGCUCUUAUGUUUUUUUACCAUGGAAAUCGAAGCUGUUGUAAUUAGCGGCUUAGGUCAUUUGAAAGCGUCAAUACGAAAUUGUCGAUUUGCUACGCAUCCCCUGAAGAUAAAUUGAGCAUCUAUUAAUUUUUGCCCCACAUCUGGAUAUUUUUGCAGCUUACAAAUUACGGAUAAAUUUUGAUUUAAUGUGGAUGGUGACUUUAUCAUUUAAAUAAGACGCUAGGUCUGUAUAUAAACAUCCAUGCCUUAGAUUUUACAUUUGCUACUGAGAUUUUCAUAUUGAUAUUCUGCUU
RNAcentral lists this long non-coding RNA (644 nucleotides) under Helianthus annuus (common sunflower). RNAcentral describes it as "hypothetical non coding rna". Lineage: Eukaryota; Viridiplantae; Streptophyta; Magnoliopsida; Asterales; Asteraceae. The record is from RNAcentral.